UUAAUUAGAUAAAUUAACUGAAUUUUAGUCAAUUAAUUUUGUUGUCGCAAUUUCACGGAAUUUCAAACCCGAAACUAUCUCAUUUCAUCAUCAAUGCAAACCAAACUUCAAAAAAAAAAUCACACAAUUCUUGAUUUAACAUCCAGCCCAUUUCAAAACGAACCCUUUGUAAGUCGAUUGUUUUGGCCUCGCCACUAACCCCACAUGUAAAUGAUUCUACUAUCAUUCCGCACAAAUUCAAACCAUUUUUCAAAAC
RNAcentral lists this long non-coding RNA (256 nucleotides) under Lathyrus oleraceus (garden pea). RNAcentral's name for it is "Pisum sativum (pea) long non-coding RNA (PSAT_LNC021272)". The record is from RNAcentral. Lineage: Eukaryota; Viridiplantae; Streptophyta; Magnoliopsida; Fabales; Fabaceae.